Molecule: long non-coding RNA, 401 nt
Filed under: Spirodela polyrhiza (greater duckweed)
Lineage: Eukaryota; Viridiplantae; Streptophyta; Magnoliopsida; Alismatales; Araceae
Description: long non-coding RNA (SPOL_LNC001197)
Source: RNAcentral
AGAACGGGUUGUCGGAUUUGCUCCCUGCCACCUCUUUCCUCGAUCCUGUUUGACGCUGGGGAGAGCCCUAAUACAGGCGCAGGAGUCGAGGGCGAUUGAAGCUAUCGAUCUCUCGUUGCAGAGAUCUAACAAUUCUGAAGCUCAUAGUUCUCUUAUUGUGUGCCACGAUGCUCACUCAUCACCCCUAAAUGCCGCAGACCUCGUCAGCUCUCCAUCAAGAUCUUUAUGCCCAGGUAUCAAUGAGAACGGACCAUGUUCGCAAUCUAGACAGCAUUUUGUUUUUAUGUUUGACAAAGUUUGUUCUAAUGAUCCGUAGAAGGAAAGGAGCAUCUUCGGUCUAGCCACCGUCCUCGAAUAAUGAGUCUUCGGUCAAGAAACUGGAAUUUGAAGCGAUUUCUCGG